UGAGAAGCUCAGGACAGCAGAGGAGACGUGGUGAGCUCCUGAUGAAGACUGUGUGUGUGUGUGUGUGUGUGUGCCCACUCAUGCUCUUCUGUCUCUAUAGCCAAGAUGUGACACCUGCUGAAUCACCAGUGAGAUUCACCUGAGUCAUUUAGCAAAGAUAAAUAGAGGCUUCAGCAGCAGCGAGACACACAGAACACUCAAGCUUCACUGACGCUUGUGUUUCACUCAAAGCACGCUUGAAAGUCAUUAGAAACAGCCAGAGCUGCUGAUGAGUCAUGAUGAUCUUCACUCAUUAGUGCUGUUCCCUACAUACUGAACCUGAGAAAGAGCGCAAGAGAAUAGCCAGAAUCCCUUCUGAGCCUCAGGCACUUCCACAUCGUUCCAACCCAGAAUCCCAUGCAGAAGAGACACAGAGAGAUGAAAGACGAAAAAAGACGAGCGUCCAGCAGGCUUUGUGUGAUCCACCUCACUGUCCCUGAACCUCACACUAUCUGUUCAUACAGACAUUUAGAGCUGCUCUGUUUUCUCUGUACUUCUCUUGCACAUCAGAUUGAAAGACCACUGCUGCAUUUGUUGCUAACGUCACAUAAUCCUGCUCCUUUCUCUCCUUACAAUUUCUUUCUUUUUUCUUUUGGAGGGGAAUGUUUGCCUGUGUUUUCAUGGUUGUCAUGGACACCAGCACUCCUGGCUUUAUG
Molecule: long non-coding RNA, 695 nt
Organism: Cyprinus carpio carpio
Lineage: Eukaryota; Metazoa; Chordata; Actinopteri; Cypriniformes; Cyprinidae
Source: Ensembl